CAAAGUGAAGAGGGAACAUCAAUGACUCACUUCAAUGUCUAUCUCCAGUGCAGAGACAAAACUCCAGCCAAAACACCUACUAAUUCUGCCACGGUGCAAGUGCUACAGGCUAACACGUUGCAGGGUGUACAGGAUUGCCCGGAAGGUGCUUGACAUCGAUGGAUGGUAUUAAAUGGGGAUGGAUUACCUAGAAUGCAACACCUGUGAAAAGUUGGCAGGUUGGUGACUGGAUGUCCUUAACCCGGUGGACACAAGUUCUCAGCAAUCUUGGCUUAUCGGUUAGUAGUUCACAACUCUAACAAUCAAAGUACUUAACUUCCCCUGGUGAGAACAUUUCUGUGUAUCAGGCUGCCCUGUGACCGGAAGGUAGUCAGAAUAGAUGAGGGAAAAUACACUGACUCUUCCUUACCUCAAGAAGGCCGCUCCAUUGCCCCCUACUGUCUGUCAGGACCUGGAGGAAGAUUUACACCUCAUAUUUCCAUGCAGUACCUUGGACCAGGAGUGGUUGUCGGGUAUCAAACGUUCUCCUGGCCAAAAGUCUGAUGAGACUC
Molecule: long non-coding RNA, 551 nt
Organism: Esox lucius (northern pike)
Lineage: Eukaryota; Metazoa; Chordata; Actinopteri; Esociformes; Esocidae
Exons: 3
Source: RefSeq, a predicted model, not a curated record